AUCCCUGUGGCUCAGUUGGUAGAGCAUGGUGUGUGCAACGCCAGGGUUGUGGGUUUGAUUCCCACAGGGGGCC
RNAcentral lists this transfer RNA (73 nucleotides) under Salmo salar (Atlantic salmon). It matches the Rfam family "tRNA". Rfam says of the family: Transfer RNA (tRNA) molecules are approximately 80 nucleotides in length. The record is from Rfam by way of RNAcentral. Lineage: Eukaryota; Metazoa; Chordata; Actinopteri; Salmoniformes; Salmonidae. RNAcentral also lists the same sequence under 1 other name.